This 818-nucleotide long non-coding RNA is filed under the name Homo sapiens (human). RNAcentral describes it as "non-protein coding lnc-COG2-4:2". Lineage: Eukaryota; Metazoa; Chordata; Mammalia; Primates; Hominidae. The record is from RNAcentral.
CGCGGACAUUUCUCCCCCUCCCCAUUUCACUCACCCAUCUCAUGGUUGAGAAAACUGCCUGUGUUUCUCCAGCUGUAGAAUUUGCUUGGAUUUUUAACCAUUUUUCCUUAUGUAGGGUAGCUGAAAUCAAUCAGUAUGUACAAGCCUCAAAUCUCAGGACAGAGAAGUGCCUCAGCUCUGCAAAAGGCAGGGUGCCAAUUGGAAAAAAAAUUUAAAAGGCUUCAGAGUGACCAUUCACUGGGCUUAAUCGAUCCUUGCAAACACAUAUGUAACAGGCCAGGGUCGCCCAGUAGGGCAGCGUAUCGUGUAGGUGGCCAUUUCUCAAAAACAGUGUGGUUUUCAGAAGUUUGCAUACUAUUAGCUGAAAUGAGACAUCAGCCAGCAUUUUGUGUCAUCGUGUAGGAAGAGUGUUGAUUUACAUAUCUAAGGAGGCAUUCACCCAGAGACUGGGGGGUAGAUUUGUUGUAAGGAGCUGCUUUAUUGUGGUUUGGUGUUUGUAUUUAUUAUGUAGCUGUGCUAGAAGGUUCUAGGGUCUGAGCGGUUCAGGUUGGGGUGAAGAUGAACCCUGCAAGCAGGAGCACAUCUCUGCCCAGGAAGGCUGGGGCAUCUGUCCCUCCGUGAGGGGCUCUCCUGGGUUAUGCCAAGGACUUGGACUCCCAGUGAGGUUUGGAGGGCUCAAGAGCUUCACGUGAGAAGGCCAUGCCGUGAGCCUUUCUCCUUAGCACUGCUCUAGCUUCUGCUUCUGGGGGCCGUGCACACUACUAGCCAUUGCCAACCUGAGGGGCCUCUGUGGGUGUGCAUUGGGAGAGGUGUAUGGU